Molecule: ribosomal RNA, 468 nt
Filed under: uncultured bacterium
Lineage: Bacteria
Description: partial 16S ribosomal RNA
Rfam family: Bacterial small subunit ribosomal RNA
Source: RNAcentral
GACGAACGCUGGCGGCGUGCUUAACACAUGCAAGUCGAACGGAAAGGCCCUGCUUUUGUGGGGCGCUCGAGUGUCGAUCAGGUGUGUAACACGGGAGUAACCUGCCCUUGACUUUAGGAUAACUUCUGGUGACUGGUGCUAAUAGCGGAUAGGAGCUCCUGCUGCAUGGUGGGGGAUGGAAAGUUUCGGCGGUUGGGGAUGGACUGGAGGCGUAUCAGCUUGUUGGUGGGGUAUUGGCUUAUCAUGGCUUUGCCGGGUAGCCGGCCGGAGAGGGGUACCGGCCAGGCUGCGUUUGAAAUACGGCACAGACCACUCCGGGAGGCAGCAGUGGGGUAUAUUGCACAAUGGGCGGAAGCAUGAUGUAGCAACGCCGCGUGCGGGAUGACGGCAUUCGGGUUGUAAAGCGCUUUCGCAUGUGCAGAAGAGUGAGUGACGGUAAUGGGUAAAGAAGCACCGGCUAAAUACGUG